This 379-nucleotide ribosomal RNA is filed under the name uncultured bacterium. Its description in RNAcentral is "bacterial SSU rRNA". It matches the Rfam family "Bacterial small subunit ribosomal RNA", at positions 521 to 896 of the family's 1533-position model. The record is from RNAcentral.
UAAUACGUAGGGUCCGAGCGUUGUCCGGAUUUAUUGGGCGUAAAGAGCUCGUAGGCGGUUCCGUAAGUCAGAUGUGAAAACUCAGGGCUCAACCCGGAGACGCCAUCUGAUACUGCGGUGACUGGAGUCUGGUAGGGGAACACGGAAUUCCUGGUGUAGCGGUGAAAUGCGCAGAUAUCAGGAGGAACACCGAUGGCGAAGGCAGUGUUCUGGGCCAGUACUGACGCUGAGGAGCGAAAGCGUGGGGAGCAAACAGGAUUAGAUACCCUGGUAGUCCACGCCGUAAACGUUGGGCACUAGGUGUGGGGUCUCAUCAACGGACUCCGUGCCGUAGCUAACGCAUUAAGUGCCCCGCCUGGGGAGUACGGCCGCAAGGCUA